This 443-nucleotide ribosomal RNA is filed under the name uncultured bacterium. RNAcentral's name for it is "partial 16S ribosomal RNA". It matches the Rfam family "Bacterial small subunit ribosomal RNA", at positions 28 to 507 of the family's 1533-position model. The record is from RNAcentral.
GAUGAACGCUGGCGGCAUGCCUAACACAUGCAAGUCGAUCGGUAAGGCUCUUCGGAGUACACGAGAGGCGGACGGCUGAGUAACGCGUAGGAACACACCCUGCAGUGAGGGAUAAGACACCGAAAGGUGUUCUAAUACCGCAUACGGUCUUCGGAUUAAAGCAUUUAUGCGCUGAAGGAGUGGCCCGCGUCAUAUUAGAUAGUUGGUGAGGUAAUGGCUCACCAAGUCGAUGAUGUGUAGCUGGUCUGAGAGGAUGAUCAGCCAGACUGGAACUGAGACACGGUCCAGACUCCUACGGGAGGCAGCAGUGAGGAAUAUUUCACAAUGAGCGAAAGCUUGAUGGAGCAAUGCCGCGUGCAGGAUGAAGGCCCUCGGGUUGUAAACUGCUUUUAUAAGAGAAGAUUAUGACGGUAACUUAUGAAUAAGGGACGGCUAACUACGUG